UAGCUCAAAAUAACAGGGGUCAAGGUCAGCCUGUGAGACGAUGGGAGAUAAGCUUCAUCGUCGAGAGGGAAACAGCCCGGAUCACCAGCUAAGGCCCCAAAAUGACCGCUCAGUGGUAAAGGAAGUAGGGGUGCAGAGACAGCCAGGAGGUUUGCCUAGAAGCAGCCACCCUUGAAAGAGUGCGUAAUAGCUCACUGAUCGAGCGCUCUUGCGCCGAAGAUGAACGGGGCUAAGCGAUCUGCCGAAGCUGUGGGAUGUGCUUAGGUAGUUGCUAAGUUA
RNAcentral lists this non-coding RNA (279 nucleotides) under Ricinus communis (castor bean). RNAcentral's name for it is "Bacterial large subunit ribosomal RNA". It matches the Rfam family "Bacterial large subunit ribosomal RNA", at positions 951 to 1231 of the family's 2925-position model. Lineage: Eukaryota; Viridiplantae; Streptophyta; Magnoliopsida; Malpighiales; Euphorbiaceae. The record is from Rfam by way of RNAcentral.